This is a long non-coding RNA of Drosophila busckii, 762 nucleotides long. RefSeq lists it as uncharacterized. The record is from RefSeq and is a predicted model, not a curated record. The transcript has 3 exons. NCBI's taxonomy places the organism in Eukaryota, Metazoa, Arthropoda, Insecta, Diptera, Drosophilidae.
CCGCCUGCACCUGCUGCGCGUAACGCUGGCUGACUAGUUGACUUGGCUUCCAUUCUCCAUUCGACAUUCUCAACGUGCGGUUGUCGUUCUCGCUUUGCUCUCGCUCUUGUCGCUACCCGUUAUCGUUGUAGUAGUUAAGCAUUGUCAAAGCUCCAAAGCUUAUUUGAGUUUUGCCAUUGCCCAUUGCCAUUGCCAUUGCUAUUGCGAGCGUUUACCGUUAGAAUCGUUAUACAACAAGCCAUUGGCGCAGGCGUUUAACGUCCACGCGUUUUAUUUUGCGCGCUCGCGUUUCGGUUCUUAACUUGCCUUGAGAGCUUUGCCCAAGACUGUCUUCUGCUCUCUGCGCUCCGUGAUCUUUGCUCGCCUCGCCGGUUGUUCUCGCUACGCGUUUGUGUUUCAUAUAAAACAGUUAUAAGACCACAGUGCGUAUACUUGAUAUUUGGUAGAACCAAAGCCAAAUCGAACCAAACGAAACUAAAGUGCGCACUAACAAGUUACAUGUGCAAUUUUGAAACAAUUACGAGUAUAACAAUUAAAAGUUCUUAAAGUCCAAGCUUAAGCAGUGGCUCGAGUUGUGAAUAGUGCAAUAAUCAAAAAAAAAAAAAAAAACUAUUUGUGAAUAGACAAAAUAAACUAUUGAAUGAAAACUAUCAAUUAAAAUAUACCUCGCUUUAUGACAACUUGCUGUUGGCCGCUUUAUAUUUGCUCAGGUAAGUUACAACAGGCUCAACAGAAAAUGAAAAUGAAAAUGAAAAACUGUGA